This 428-nucleotide ribosomal RNA is filed under the name uncultured prokaryote. RNAcentral's name for it is "bacterial SSU rRNA". It matches the Rfam family "Bacterial small subunit ribosomal RNA", at positions 355 to 774 of the family's 1533-position model. The record is from RNAcentral.
UGGGGAAUUUUGCGCAAUGGGGGAAACCCUGACGCAGCAACGCCGCGUGAGUGAUGAAGGCCUUCGGGUCGUAAAGCUCUGUCAGAGGGAAAGAAGUGCGAGAGGGUUAAUACCCCUUUUGCUUGACGGUACCCUCAAAGGAAGCACCGGCUAACUCCGUGCCAGCAGCCGCGGUAAUACGGAGGGUGCGAGCGUUGUUCGGAAUUAUUGGGCGUAAAGCGCGUGUAGGCGGUCUUUUAAGUCGGAUGGGAAAGCCCCGGGCUCAACCUGGGAAGUGCAUUGGAAACUGGGAGACUUGAAUACGGUAGAGGGUAGGGGAAUUCCUAGUGUAGGAGUGAAAGCCGUAGAUAUUAGGAGGAACACCGGUGGCGAAGGCGGCUACCUGGACCGAUAUUGACGCUGAGACGCGAAAGCGUGGGGAGCAAACA